RNAcentral lists this ribosomal RNA (392 nucleotides) under uncultured organism. Its description in RNAcentral is "bacterial SSU rRNA". It matches the Rfam family "Bacterial small subunit ribosomal RNA", at positions 45 to 433 of the family's 1533-position model. The record is from RNAcentral.
UGGAUUAGGCAUGCAAGUCGAACGAAUGCCUUUGGGGGUAACUCUGAAGGCGGAAGUGGCGAAAGGGGCAGUAAUGCAUGGGUAACUUACCCUGGAGUCAGGCAUAGCCGUCCUAACGGACGGGUAAUUCUUGAUGGCCCAGCGAGAUGGCAUCAUCAUGCUGGUAAAGAAUUUCGCUCCGGGAGAGACCCAUGUCGUAUUAGCUAGUUGGCGGGGUAACGGCCCACCAAGGCUAAGAUGCGUAGCAGGUGUGAGAGCACGACCUGCGCCACUGGCACUGAGACACUGGCCAGACACCUACGGGUGGCUGCAGUCGAGGAUCUUCGUCAAUGGGCGAAAGCCUGAACGAGCGACGCCGCGUGCGCGAUGAAGGCCUUCGGGUUGUAAAGCGC